This 242-nucleotide long non-coding RNA is filed under the name Homo sapiens (human). RNAcentral describes it as "HSALNT0138633". Lineage: Eukaryota; Metazoa; Chordata; Mammalia; Primates; Hominidae. The record is from RNAcentral.
UCUGCCCAUAGCACCUGGCCUCCUGCAGUCAUCAGCAAACACUUGUCCUGCCCUUGUAAAUAGUUUUGGACGAAUGAAGGAUAUGGUUAAAGACCAAACGAAAGUAAUAUACAUGGAUUGUGAAGCACAUAAAGAAGAAAGAAGAAAAGAAGGACAAAAAAGGAAGAAAAGAAAGAGAAGAAGGAAAGAAAAGAAAGGCAAGCAAACAGCAUGGGAGAGUUUAGUAUUGAGGAAAAGUGGGU